This 253-nucleotide ribosomal RNA is filed under the name uncultured bacterium. Its description in RNAcentral is "partial 16S ribosomal RNA". It matches the Rfam family "Bacterial small subunit ribosomal RNA", at positions 524 to 776 of the family's 1533-position model. The record is from RNAcentral.
UACGAAGGGGGCUAGCGUUGUUCGGAAUUACUGGGCGUAAAGCGCACGUAGGCGGAUUGUUAAGUCAGGGGUGAAAUCCCGGGGCUCAACCCCGGAACUGCCUUUGAUACUGGCAUUCUCGAGUCCGGAAGAGGUGAGUGGAAUUCCGAGUGUAGAGGUGAAAUUCGUAGAUAUUCGGAGGAACACCAGUGGCGAAGGCGGCUCACUGGUCCGGAACUGACGCUGAGGUGCGAAAGCGUGGGGAGCAAACGGG